GGGUGAAUAGCUCAGUCGGAUAGAGCAACUGCCUUCUAAGCAGUCGGUCGGGGGUUCAAGUCCCUCUUCACCCG
RNAcentral lists this transfer RNA (74 nucleotides) under Chamaesiphon minutus PCC 6605. RNAcentral describes it as "tRNA-Arg (TCT) (tRNA-Arg-TCT-1-1)". It matches the Rfam family "tRNA". From Rfam's summary of the family: Transfer RNA (tRNA) molecules are approximately 80 nucleotides in length. Their secondary structure includes four short double-helical elements and three loops (D, anti-codon, and T loops). Further hydrogen bonds mediate the characteristic L-shaped molecular structure. tRNAs have two regions of fundamental functional importance: the anti-codon, which is responsible for specific mRNA codon recognition, and the 3' end, to which the tRNAs corresponding amino acid is attached (by aminoacyl-tRNA synthetases). tRNAs cope with the degeneracy of the genetic code in two manners: having more than one tRNA (with a specific anti-codon) for a particular amino acid; and 'wobble' base-pairing, i.e. permitting non-standard base-pairing at the 3rd anti-codon position. RNAcentral also lists the same sequence under 2 other names. The record is from Rfam by way of RNAcentral. Lineage: Bacteria; Bacillati; Cyanobacteriota; Cyanophyceae; Gomontiellales; Chamaesiphonaceae.